This 423-nucleotide ribosomal RNA is filed under the name uncultured bacterium. RNAcentral's name for it is "bacterial SSU rRNA". It matches the Rfam family "Bacterial small subunit ribosomal RNA", at positions 355 to 775 of the family's 1533-position model. The record is from RNAcentral.
UAAGGAAUAUUGGACAAUGGCCGCAAGGCUGAUCCAGCCAUGCCGCGUGCAGGAUGAAGGUGCUCUGCAUUGUAAACUGCUUUUGUUUGGGAAUAAACCCUUCUACGUGUAGAAGGCUGAAUGUACCAAAAGAAUAAGGGACGGCUAACUUCGUGCCAGCAGCCGCGGUAAUACGAAGGUCCCGAGCGUUAUCCGGAUUUAUUGGGUUUAAAGGGUGCGUAGGCGGAUUAUUAAGUCAGUGGUGAAAGCUCUCGGCUCAACCGGGAAAUUGCCAUUGAUACUGAUGAUCUUGAGUAUGAUUGAGGUUGGCGGAAUGUGUCAUGUAGCGGUGAAAUGCUUAGAUAUGACACAGAACACCGAUUGCGAAGGCAGCUAACUAAGUCAUAACUGACGCUGAUGCACGAAAGCGUGGGGAGCAAACAG